RNAcentral lists this long non-coding RNA (1016 nucleotides) under Heterocephalus glaber (naked mole-rat). Its description in RNAcentral is "lncRNA (ENSHGLG00100050465.1)". Lineage: Eukaryota; Metazoa; Chordata; Mammalia; Rodentia; Bathyergidae. The record is from RNAcentral.
CAGUUUAAUGCCUUUCCCCGAAGACAGCCUGUCGGGGUAUCGCUUCCAGAUCGCUUCCUGUGUGUUUACGGAACUAUGUGUGUUCCCAUGGCAACGGGGAGUGCUUUAUCACCCUUACACAAUGGUAUCUUGCGUUACUGGUCAGGACGGCCCUGCCUUUCUAGUGUCAGUGGACACGUGGAACACUUCUGCCCCUGGCUAUUGAGAAUCAAGCUGCUAGGAAUGGAGAAGCAAAGCCAUCUGGCCAGGCUCAGGCUGGAUCAGCAGAACUCCAGUUUAUCUGCAGACAGACCAGAUUCCCCAUCCAACUGGUUGGGAAGCUCUUCAUGUGGCUUUUCAGAGUGGACAGUCCUGCUAGCUGUCCCUUUGCCCUCUGCCAGAUCCCCAGAGUUCUUUUCAUUCAUUGAUGGCUUAGGAAGAGAGAGUGUGUGCAAGACACACGUGUCUUCUACUCACUGGCCAAGAUAAGACAAGACUACAACAUCAUUUCCUGGUCCUGCCUACUUCCUGUGGGCGGCCCCUUCUCCACGAGAGCAGCACCUGACACAGGGGACUCAUUCUCCUUUGAUGCUUUUUAAAGGUGUACUUGUGACUCGAAUGACUGUGAUCCUGGGAAAACUCAACAUUUCAUCUCAUCAAAGUCACCUUUCCAACUUUAGCAGUGAAAACUACAAGAAAGGGGGUCAAAAUUCAGAUUAGGCAUCCUGGAGCAUCCUCUCUGGCUCCACAAGGUGAUCAGAGAGUGUGGACACAUAUCCAUCUAUUGACAAAUAAUUGUGAAAGGCAAAAUGUCUCCCUAAAUUAUAGUAAUGCACAUGUGAUGUGUAUAAUUCAACACCCUUUUGUGUAGGAAGUAGCCAUACUACUAAUACACUGCUGGUGGAAUUCUUAAUUGGUUUAGCCACUUAAAGAGAAAUCAGUAUUAUGUCUUAAAGUUGAAAAUGUAGGCAUCCUAUGGCCCAGCAAUUCCAUCAAUAUGAUCAAUAAAGAUUUAUUUCCCAAUCAGCAACCCAAGA